Molecule: long non-coding RNA, 2121 nt
Organism: Populus nigra (black poplar)
Lineage: Eukaryota; Viridiplantae; Streptophyta; Magnoliopsida; Malpighiales; Salicaceae
Exons: 4
Source: RefSeq, a predicted model, not a curated record
CGUUUCCCUCUCCCUAGCUCUUCAUUAAUGUCAAAAACUUAAUCUGGGUUAUCUUUGUUUUGUCUCAUUUUCCAAUUUCUUGAUCGUUUAUUAGAUUAACUAGUGAUGAGUAGUAUUGGAUAAUUUGGAUUCAGCUUUCAGUCAUUUUUUUUCGUGAUUUUAUGGUUGCACGAUAAAAAUUCUGUGAAUUCGGAAAGGGUGAUGAUGCCUUAUCAGAAAAUUAGCAAUUAUUAAAUUGCAAGAUCACUACAUUUGAAUUGGGAUUUAGCAAUUUUAUUGACUUUUAAUUAAAUUUCUAAAAGUGAGUUGUUUUAUAACUUGAAUUUGCACGCAUUACUCGGUGAUAGCUUAUUUUAAUGUUCCUGUUGUCAUUUUUUCACCAAUCGGGUGCUGGGUUCUUUUUAGGAGCUUCAAAUUGAUUUUUCGCAGUAUGAACAUCCUACUGUUUUGACUGUUGAAGCACAGGUAAUUUUUUUUUUCAGAAAUAAUAUUUUAUAUUAUGCUUGUCUACUGAUGCAAUAAUAUUUUGUUUUCGACCAGGAAAAAUAUGUCGGAGAUAAGGGAGGUGGCCUCUGUAAAAUUUUGUUCUUGAAGGACUAGAAAAGUCCGUAUUAUAUUGUUUCCGCUUUGGUGGAUACGAAAGUAGAUAUGAAAGUGUUGUCUCGGAGGCUUGGUUUGGGAGGAGGUACAAGAAUGGCACCUGAAGAAGCACUGGGUGAGAUACUUCAGGGAUAAACUAGACUCCUUGAGUUUGGCUAUUCUUAUCUGGUGUAAUGUUCCCACCGCGGAUACAUAUGAAGGCAAUCACAUCCAUGAUUGUGUUGCAAUGGUAAUAAUCUUAUUAGAUCAGGGUUAAAUAAAUGCCAGGUCUUGUUCUAUGAGCUAGUGAUGCAUGGCAAUCUAACAUUUCAACAUGUUUAUUUUGUCUGAUUAAAUCUGUUUUGUGUUUUUUAUUUUCAAGUUUCCUUUGGGCUGUGUUACUCCAUUUGCGCUUACAAAUGAAUCAGCACAGUGAGCAUUAAAUUUUAUCUCUUUUGGCAUUUAUUUUUAUCUUUUCUCCUCUCAAGUCUUUAUUUGAACAAAUUCGUGUUUGCAUUUUUGCUACCUUGCAAAAAUAAUGUUUUUGUGAAAUGUUUCAAAUCACAUUGACUCUGAUAUCUUAUUGUUACUUAUGAUGCAUAUCAUAUGUAAUUCUUCUCAUUGCAAUCAUCUAAAUUGCUACACAAUCAGCACUAUUAUAAAACUGAAGUUAAGUCUUCCAUUUAAAUGUUCAUCUUCAGCCACACCUUAUGAAAGCAUUUCUUAAUUGAAGAUUAUCAAGCAACCUGCUCGAUGAGAGGGAUGUAUUAUAGAAUCUAGCUACAGGAGAUUGGUGGGAUGCAUAAGGUGAAGGAAUUGAUGAAAUAUAGUGUUUUCUCAGAUGCUGGAUUAUUUGUGGAAGAGAUUUGAAAUAAGAAAUCAGCUCUAUUACUUUCAGAAGUGUAGUACAGUAUGCUUCUUCAGUCUUAACCUAGUCAUAUCUCUGAGUAGGACUAGUGGAAUUUUUCUACGCUGAUCACAGAGGAAGCUGUCAAGAAGAAUGGUAAUCUAGGAACUGUGUUGCUGACAAUCUUAGAAAGCAGCUUCAUUCAGAUUUGCAAAGCAUUUCGUUUAGUAUUGUCAUUCCCACUAUUUCACAAAAAAAGAAAAGGAAAGGAAAAGAAACCUUGUAAGGUCUUUGACUCAUUCAUUCAUUUUUACCAUCAAAGAUAAGCUACCUCUACCAUCAAAAGGCAUUGCCUGCAAGAUCUUUGACUCUUAAGCAUGAUCUCGUGCCUGAAAGAUGGAACAUGUGGCUGUGGAUGCAUAUUUUCUAGAACACCUAUAUUCAUGAGAGGGCUAUUUUAUUUUAUUUUAAUUAUUUUACAGAUGAUGUUUAAGAACACAGCCUAUACACAAGUGUUUCAUGCUGGUUCUCAACGUGGUUUAUAGCUUUCUCUUUGUAUCCUGUUGCAAAUAACAGGAACGAAUGCCAGAGAAAAUAUGUACUGAUCUUUGUUUGUCAAAUAGGGACUUUGAGUAUGUUGACAAUGACAGAAUACCUUGAGAAAAUACCUCUUCCUAAAUUUCUUAGGUUACACA